RNAcentral lists this ribosomal RNA (448 nucleotides) under uncultured delta proteobacterium. RNAcentral describes it as "bacterial SSU rRNA". It matches the Rfam family "Bacterial small subunit ribosomal RNA", at positions 338 to 795 of the family's 1533-position model. Lineage: Bacteria; Deltaproteobacteria. The record is from RNAcentral.
CCUACGGGUGGCAGCAGUGGGGAAUAUUGCGCAAUGGGCGAAAGCCUGACGCAGCCACGCCGCGUGAGUGAUGAAGGCCUUCGGGUUGUAAAGCUCUGUCGGGAGGGAAGAAGGGGAAACCCUGACGGUACCUCGCAAGAAAGCACCGGCUAACUCUGUGCCAGCAGCCGCGGUAAUACAGAGGGUGCAAGCGUUGCUCGGAUUUACUGGGCGUAAAGCGUACGCAGACGGCUUGGCAGGUCGGGCGUGAAAGCCCUGGGCUCAACCCAGGAAAUGCGCUCGAAACCACCUCGCUCGAGGAUAGGAGAGGAAAGCGGAAUUCCCGGUGUAGAGGUGAAAUUCGUAGAUAUCGGGAGGAACACCAGCGGCGAAGGCGGCUUUCUGGCCUAUCACUGACGUUCAGGUACGAAAGCGUGGGUAGCAAACAGGAUUAGAUACCCCUGUAGUC